This is a non-coding RNA of Vicia faba (fava bean), 234 nucleotides long. NCBI's taxonomy places the organism in Eukaryota, Viridiplantae, Streptophyta, Magnoliopsida, Fabales, Fabaceae. The record is from the annotation of a GenBank genome assembly.
AUGUCAUUGAUAUACUAUGUUUUUGUUCUUUUUUUGCAGAAACAGGAAAGGAGAAGAAGGGAAUCAGAUCCGGCGAUGAAACAAUUCCAAUCCACCGCGCUCAGCCUUGCCGCCGUAAUGAGCCCAACACGGUUUCCUCCUCGCUACACCCAAAACGCCACCGAGUCGUCCAUCCUCUGUCAAGCAGAAGCCGCCGCGGUCGAGGAACAUCGCACCGAACCUUCACCUUGCUGA